Long non-coding RNA from Beta vulgaris subsp. vulgaris (sugar beet), 1583 nucleotides. RefSeq lists it as uncharacterized. NCBI's taxonomy places the organism in Eukaryota, Viridiplantae, Streptophyta, Magnoliopsida, Caryophyllales, Amaranthaceae. The transcript has 4 exons. The record is from RefSeq and is a predicted model, not a curated record.
AAAAAAUAACGCAAGGGAUAUGAUGUAAGAGCUACGGUUAGCCCAAAAACGUAGCCCUUUAUAUAUAUAUAUAAAGGGCUAUGAUUUUGGGCUAACCGCAACCCUUGGGCUUUUUGAAAAAUAUAUUUUCCCUAAACUCGCUUCCUUUCCUUCUCGUAUUACCCGUGUAUCCAAUAUUAUUUGGGCCUUUCUCUCUCUCUCUCCUUCCAUCUCCUCUCUUUCACCCCGUCAUCUCUACCUCUCUCGUUGUAUCAUCCCUCACCACCGGAGCACCGUCGCAAGCUUCACUUCUUGUUCGUUAUUUAAUAUAAUUUUUCGUGGUUGUAUUAUUGUUGUUGAAGAUUAAAAGAGGCUAUUUCAGAGGUCGUUCUUCGAUUUCUCCUCUACUUUGCCAAUUUGAAGUUGUUAUGGAACAAAGUAUGAUUUAGACUUCAAGACCGCAAAUAAGUCAGGGCUAAAAUUUCAAGUCUGGAGAGGAUAUGAUUGAAUUGUACAAACAACUUUGUUCUAGUAUAGUUGUGUCUUGUUCCUCUCUUGUUUCACAUUCAUCCUUAUAUUUCUGCCAUUUGGAAUCCUUGUAGAGGUUUCGUUUUCAUCAUUGUUCUUUUUUAUGCAUCUUGCAGAGUACCCAAUUGUGUAUCCAUUUGACAAAGAGGAUUGAGAACUCAAAAGCAUUUCUCUACUCAUUAAGCUUGCCAGAGAGAAGCUCAUGUGCUAACUAGCUCGGACAAGUUUGGAGAUGCUAUCACUGAAUAUAGAGAGUUAAAGCAAGAAGAUUUGAGACGGUGUUUUGAUUAAUGAACGAAGAGAUGGAACGCUUUCAAGAACAAAUAAUAGCAGAUAUGGGGCUAGCAUUCCAUGAAUUUGCCAAAGGACAGGCACGCUUGGUCAACAGCAUUUCUGAAGCUUGGAGAGGUUUGCUUCCAAAGCUUCAAGCCUGUUCUUCUUGAGUAUCGAGGUGAUAGGUACAAGCAGCCCAAAAGGAACGGAGUGGUCCAAAGGAAUGCCAAGAGCAUCUGUUUCUCUUGUAAAUUAUGGAUAAUCAACAAUGAAUAUUAAAACAUCGCAAUGCAAUCUCAAUUAUGGAGAAUGAAUCGAAAAGAAGAGUUGCAGAGAUGAUGAAUGAAAGAUGUUAUUGAUAGGGGAAGUUGAGGAGUUACUGUGAUCAAAACUCACGACUGAUGGUAGGGAUUUUGAAGAUGGUAAUUAACUAGGAGGGUAGGUUAGUAAAUUAGGUUGAAGUAAUGGGUUAGUCAGUUUUAAGUGGAUUAAGGCUACUAAAUGUAAUUAGUCAUAGUAUAGUGUCACUUUGUAUAAUAUUAUUUUUGCCUUGCCACCACAUAGAAAAGUCUAAACUUGAAGGCUACCAUGUAGAAUUUCCCAUCUUUUUUCCUUACUUAGAUGACCAAUUGCCUGGAGCACAUUUGUUGUGACUCUAAGUCAAUAUAAUUUUGAGCAUGAUAAACAGUCUAUGCCGUAACAUGUAUGUGUGUAACAGUGAGCUAAGGAAGCCAUCAAGAUUGGAUGUUCAUAAAAGCUCAAGAACCUGAAUAUAUGGAAGCUUAGGUCUAGUUAUAUUCUUA